GAGUUUGAUCCUGGCUCAGAUUGAACGCUGGCGGCAGGCCUAACACAUGCAAGUCGAGCGGAUGACGGGAGCUUGCUCCUUGAUUCAGCGGCGGACGGGUGAGUAAUGCCUAGGAAUCUGCCUGGUAGUGGGGGACAACGUUUCGAAAGGAACGCUAAUACCGCAUACGUCCUACGGGAGAAAGCAGGGGACCUUCGGGCCUUGCGCUAUCAGAUGAGCCUAGGUCGGAUUAGCUAGUUGGUGGGGUAAUGGCUCACCAAGGCGACGAUCCGUAACUGGUCUGAGAGGAUGAUCAGUCACACUGGAACUGAGACACGGUCCAGACUCCUACGGGAGGCAGCAGUGGGGAAUAUUGGACAAUGGGCGAAAGCCUGAUCCAGCCAUGCCGCGUGUGUGAAGAAGGUCUUCGGAUUGUAAAGCACUUUAAGUUGGGAGGAAGGGCAGUAAGUUAAUACCUUGCUGUUUGACGUUACCGACAGAAUAAGCACCGGCUAACUCUGUGCCAGCAGCCG
RNAcentral lists this ribosomal RNA (512 nucleotides) under bacterium enrichment culture clone ALO1_GLFRUDD03G4ZON. Its description in RNAcentral is "bacterial SSU rRNA". It matches the Rfam family "Bacterial small subunit ribosomal RNA", at positions 9 to 517 of the family's 1533-position model. The record is from RNAcentral.